Molecule: long non-coding RNA, 859 nt
Organism: Panthera uncia (snow leopard)
Lineage: Eukaryota; Metazoa; Chordata; Mammalia; Carnivora; Felidae
Exons: 3
Source: RefSeq, a predicted model, not a curated record
AUUGUUUUAUAAAGCCCAUUAGUAUGUGUUUAUUUUCAGCUGAUCACACAAUCAUCCUGUGAAGGACUCAGGGCAGGUCUUUUGAACCAGUUUCAUAAAAAAUGAAAGGAUGGAGGAGCCUGGGUGGCCCAGUCAAACGCCCACCUCUUGAUUUUAGCUCAGGUCAUAAUGUCAUGGUUUGUGACAUCGACUCUCACAUCAGGCUCUGCACUGACAGUGUGGAGUCUGCUUGGGAUUUUCUUUCUCCCUCUCUCUCUGGCUCUCCCUCUGCUAGAGAGAGAGAGAGAGAGAGAGAGAGAGAGCGCGCGUGCACACGUGCGCGUGCAGGUUCUCUCUCUCUCAAAAUAAACUUUGAAAAAAAAAGGAAAAGGACUUGCUGAGGUCUGCACAACUGAUAGUUCAUUGAAAUGUCUGAAGCCCCUCUGGCCCGGAGCAACCUGGGUGAAGGUCAUGUUUGCCUGGAACAUUUCUCAGGAGGGCUAUGGUAGCAUUUAGGGGCUGGGAUCUCUUACUGCAGAGCUCCAGAGGCAGACGCUGGUUCAUGUGCUGGAGGAGGCUCAUAUCGAAAACUGGAGUAUUGUACGUUGGACACUCUGAGAAGCAGACUCUGAGACCAAGAGGGGGAAAACCGAGGCAAGAACAAGUUGAGCAAGCCACCCAAAGUCACACAGCUGGAGCGUGUCAAGCCAAGACGUGAAGACAGGUGGUCUGGGCCAGCAUCCACACUCUCGUUUUAUCUGAAAGUUCCUGUCGGUUGUGCUUGUUGUGUAUUGUUUGAAUAAUGUUGCAUAUCGCCAUACUGAUGACCCCAAACUUUCUAAUUAUUAACCUUUAAUGACAGCAACAAACAGCAACGCUA